This 253-nucleotide ribosomal RNA is filed under the name uncultured bacterium. RNAcentral's name for it is "partial 16S ribosomal RNA". It matches the Rfam family "Bacterial small subunit ribosomal RNA", at positions 524 to 776 of the family's 1533-position model. The record is from RNAcentral.
UACGUAGGGGGCAAGCGUUGUCCGGAAUCAUUGGGCGUAAAGAGCGUGUAGGCGGCUCGAUAAGUCUGCUGUGAAAGUCCAGGGCUCAACCCUGGAAGGCCGGUGGAAACUGUCGGGCUAGAGUCCGGAAGAGGCGAGUGGAAUUCCCGGUGUAGCGGUGAAAUGCGCAGAUAUCGGGAGGAACACCGGUGGCGAAGGCGGGAUCCUGGGCCAGUACUGACGCUGAGGAGCGAAAGCGUGGGGAGCAAACAGG